GAUGAAGAACGUAGCAAAAUGCGAUAAGUAAUGUGAAUUGCAGAAUUCAGUGAAUCAUCGAGUCUUUGAACGCACAUUGCGCCCCCUGGUAUUCCGGGGGGCAUGCCUGUCCGAGCGUCAUUGCUGCCCUCAAGCACGGCUUGUGUGUUGGGCCUCCGUCCUCCUCCCGGGGGACGGGCCCGAAAGGCAGCGGCGGCACCGCGUCCGGUCCUCGAGCGUAUGGGGCUUCGUCACCCGCUCUUGUAGGCCCGGCCGGCGCUUGCCGACACAUCAAUCUUUUUUCCAGGUUGACCUCGGAUCAGGUAGGGAUACCCGCUGAACUUAAGCAUAUCAAAAGCGGAGGA
RNAcentral lists this unclassified non-coding RNA (344 nucleotides) under soil metagenome. RNAcentral describes it as "partial contains 5.8S ribosomal RNA, internal transcribed spacer 2, and large subunit ribosomal RNA". The stretch from base 1 to 120 matches the Rfam family "5.8S ribosomal RNA", at positions 35 to 154 of the family's 154-position model. The record is from RNAcentral.